Molecule: long non-coding RNA, 751 nt
Filed under: Equus caballus (horse)
Lineage: Eukaryota; Metazoa; Chordata; Mammalia; Perissodactyla; Equidae
Description: lncRNA (ENSECAG00000027972.3)
Source: RNAcentral
CGGGAAGAGGAAGUUGGGAGGGUUACUGUAAACAAGGAGGCCAUUGGAGGAGACUUGGAGCUCCAAGUGUAGUGGCUUUUCAUUGGCUGAGCUUCUUGCUGGCUAAGAAGAGGAAGUAUUUCUUCUUCUGGUUGGACUGCGCUGUCAAUGACAACGUAGGGCGUGAGAGCUGCCCCUUUUGGCCUCCUGACUCCAUGUUAAUGAGGUGCAGCAGGGAAAGCCUGACCCCUCACCCUGCCCCUGCAGUGACCUCAACCUCACCCAUGUGGACCACCCUCUAGGCUGCCCCCGACGCAGGCCCAUGAUCACCUCUCCAGGUUGACUGCUGACUAGCAGGAGAAGAUGAACCUGAAAUUGAAUGGUUAUUGCAGUCCAGUUUUUUCAGUCCAAAGUGGCUGUCUUUGUACGAGAAGGCUAGCAUCCAUUCUCAGCUAACCGGAAGCUGAUAUGCUGGACGUGGCCAGGCUUGAAUGCUCUGCGCACAUGCCUCCUGAAGAGAAUGAAAUGUACGCUGGACGUUCCCCAGAUGAGAUUGCCGUCCGUGUCCAGCACCAGGCAAAUUCUCCUCAUUCCUUUCACUUAGUCCUGGCCUCACGAUCCAGCAUUUUUAUAGGAGUUUUAAGGUUUUAUGUUUCUAUUAAAAUUUUCCUUAUUGGUAUAAUCCUACCCAGCAUAUUCUUUCUCUUUUCAACCUGGUGUUAGGGCUGUGAUUAUGAAAACAAUAAGACACCAAAUAGUAAAUCAACAUUUG